RNAcentral lists this ribosomal RNA (43 nucleotides) under Tuber brumale (winter truffle). Its description in RNAcentral is "partial 28S ribosomal RNA". Lineage: Eukaryota; Fungi; Ascomycota; Pezizomycetes; Pezizales; Tuberaceae. The record is from RNAcentral.
UGACCUCGAGUCAGGUAAGGAUACCCGCUGAACUUAAGCAUAU